AGCGAACGCUGGCGGUAGGCCUAACACAUGCAAGUCGAACGGCAGCACAGUAAGAGCUUGCUCUUACGGGUGGCGAGUGGCGGACGGGUGAGGAAUACAUCGGAAUCUACUUUUUCGUGGGGGAUAACGUAGGGAAACUUACGCUAAUACCGCAUACGACCUACGGGUGAAAGCAGGGGAUCUUCGGACCUUGCGCGAUUGAAUGAGCCGAUGUCGGAUUAGCUAGUUGGCGGGGUAAAGGCCCACCAAGGCGACGAUCCGUAGCUGGUCUGAGAGGAUGAUCAGCCACACUGGAACUGAGACACGGUCCAGACUCCUACGGGAGGCAGCAGUGGGGAAUAUUGGACAAUGGGCGCAAGCCUGAUCCAGCCAUACCGCGUGGGUGAAGAAGGCCUUCGGGUUGUAAAGCCCUUUUGUUGGGAAAGAAAAGCAGCAGGUUAAUACCCCGCUGUUCUGACGGUACCCAAAGAAUAAGCACCGGCUAGCUUCGUG
Molecule: ribosomal RNA, 492 nt
Filed under: uncultured bacterium
Lineage: Bacteria
Description: partial 16S ribosomal RNA
Rfam family: Bacterial small subunit ribosomal RNA
Source: RNAcentral